AAGAUCAUGACGCCAAGUUGACAGAUAAACCAAAAAUUUUGCCAAAAAACCUUUAUCUGGACCUAUACAAAAAAAAACCUCACACCAUAUACUGCAUGCCGACCUGCACUAAAUGCGAAUGCGGUACACUCAAAUUGGCAGUUCCCCUUCUGCUAUUCUUUCUCAAGAAAGCAUAAAAAUAAUUUAUGACAAGCUUCUUAAUGAACCAUGAAUUCUUCCUUGCCCUAAUAUCUCCGUGACCAAGAAGAUAGACCACGCCAGAUUCUUUGGCCUUGCGUAUGAAUGAGAGCUCCUUUUCAAGGGAUUGCUCUGCCUCAGACA
This 321-nucleotide unclassified non-coding RNA is filed under the name Hevea brasiliensis (rubber tree). The record is from RNAcentral. Lineage: Eukaryota; Viridiplantae; Streptophyta; Magnoliopsida; Malpighiales; Euphorbiaceae.